RNAcentral lists this ribosomal RNA (403 nucleotides) under uncultured bacterium. Its description in RNAcentral is "partial 16S ribosomal RNA". It matches the Rfam family "Bacterial small subunit ribosomal RNA", at positions 28 to 526 of the family's 1533-position model. The record is from RNAcentral.
GACGAACGCUGGCGGCGGGCCUAAUACAUGCAAGUCGAACGCAGUGGGGACGGGUGAGUAACCCGUGGGUAACCUCCCAUCAGAGGGGAUAACACUUGGAAACAGGUGCUAAACCGAUACUGAUGGAUGGAGCCGCGGUGCAUUAGCUAGGUGGGGAGGUAACGUCUCACCAAGGCAACGAUGCAGAGGCUACCGGAGCGGGUGAUCGGCCACACUGAGACGGAGACACGGCCCAGACUACUAGGUGAGGCGGCAGUAGGGAAUGUUCGGCAAUGGACGAAAGUCUGACCGAGCAAAGCCGCGUGAGUGAAGAAGGUUUGCCGAUCUUAAAACUCUGUUGUUAGAAAAGCGGUAUCUAACCAGAAAGCCACGGCUAACUCCGUGCCAGCAGCCGCGGUAAUAC